GGCUCGAUGGUCUAGUGGUAUGAUUCUUCAUUCGGGUUGAAGAGGUUCCGGGUUCGAUUCCCGGUCGAGCCC
Folsomia candida is the source of this 72-nucleotide transfer RNA. It matches the Rfam family "tRNA". From Rfam's summary of the family: Transfer RNA (tRNA) molecules are approximately 80 nucleotides in length. The record is from Rfam. Lineage: Eukaryota; Metazoa; Arthropoda; Collembola; Entomobryomorpha; Isotomidae.